AGCAGCCGCGGUAAUUCCAGCUCCAAUAGCGUAUAUUAAAGUUGUUGCAGUUAAAAAGCUCGUAGUUGAAUUUCAGGCCUGGCUGGACGGUCCGCCCUUCGGGUGAGUACUGUCUGUGGUCGGGUCCUACCUUCUGGCGAAGCGUCAUGGCCUUAACCGGCCGUGGCGGGGAACCAGGACUUUUACUGUGAAAAAUUAGAGUGUUCAAAGCAGGCAAUCGCUUGGAUACAUUAGCAUGGAAUAAUGGAAUAGGACAAUGGUUCUAUUUGUUGGUUUCUAGGACCGUUGUAAUGAUUAAUAGGGAUAGUUGGGGGCAUUAGUAUUCAAUUGUCAGAGGUGAAAUUCUUGGAUUUAUUGAAGACUAACUACUGCGAAAGCAUUUGCCAAGGAUGUUUUCAUUAAUCAAGAACGAAAGUUAGGGGAUCGAAGACGAUCAGAUACCGUCGUAGUCUUAACCAUAAACUAUGCCGACUAGGAAUCGGGCGAUGUUGACAAAAUGACGCGCUCGGCACCUCAUAC
This 519-nucleotide ribosomal RNA is filed under the name uncultured Paraglomus. Its description in RNAcentral is "SSU rRNA". It matches the Rfam family "Eukaryotic small subunit ribosomal RNA", at positions 569 to 1093 of the family's 1831-position model. Lineage: Eukaryota; Fungi; Glomeromycota; Glomeromycetes; Paraglomerales; Paraglomeraceae. The record is from RNAcentral.